This 2442-nucleotide small RNA is filed under the name Exaiptasia diaphana. RNAcentral's name for it is "uncharacterized LOC110233199". Lineage: Eukaryota; Metazoa; Cnidaria; Anthozoa; Actiniaria; Aiptasiidae. The record is from RNAcentral.
GGGUUUGUAAUGAUUUAACCCGCAAUGGGGUUUAGUCAGUUUGUAUUUGUUCUGUUUUUGUCGUAAAGUCACUGUUUGUUUGCAGUUGGUUUGUUUUUUUGAUCUUUGCAUCAAGGAAGAGCAGAGGUCUUUGCACUCGCUGUCGGUCUGAAACAUCGCCAUCGAACGUGGAUUUAUCUUGUAAUGCCGCCAUAAAGAUCGGCCUAAAAUGUCAAAAACACUAAAAAAAGCUUCCAUUAUUACAAUCGAAAUUGUAAAAUGAAAGCUGUGAUAUACAAAGAGUAGAAACAAUGCAAAAACAAGGCUUACUUACCGAUUUGAACUUGAAAGACUUCAAUCGAUAUACAUCCCUCGUGGUUUGGAGAGCCAGCGUUUUUCUUGACCAGCGUCAUUUCGUAGUUGUCAUGGCAUCGUCUUACGUCAUGUCAGAUCGUUCUUUUUGGUCAGCGUCAUCGUUCAUAACAAAUAAGAAGCUAAUGCGCAUAUGCGUACGAUUUUUCGACGUAUGAAAUUGAAGCGAAGCAUUGAUGAAAGCCCACAUUGAUGGAAAUACAAAAAAAUCGUCAUAUAUAAGAGACGGCUUCUCAUAACAGAUAAGCAUAGACAUGACGGGGUAAGGUAUAAUUUUAUAGGCGGCAAAUCUGGGGUCAGAUUCGAAGGGUGGGACACAAUGCAGAAUGUUCAUCCCCAGGAGGGGGGUAUAGUGGCAUGAAAGUCUCAAGUCACGUGAUAGUUAACUUACUGACCUACAAACCGAUAACAUAGUGGUUCCCCGUCUAAAAGACGGGAGUAACCACAAAAAGCGUACUAUACCUUAGUACGCUAGUACGGGCCGGUAUUCCUAUAAAAAAUGCGUACUGUACCUUAGUACGCUAGUACGGGCCGAUAUUCCUAUAAUAAAAGCGUACUGUACCAUAGUACGCUAGUACGGGACGGUAUUCCUAUAAAAAAUGAGUACUGUACCUUAGUACGUUAGUACGCUAGUGCGGGCCGGUACAUAGAAAGGGCAGUAUCCCUUUGUACACUAGUACGCUAGGAUCGACGUUACGGUUUUAGUUAUUAUUUGGGUUUCCUGUUUUGUGUAGCAGCACAGGAAGCCCAAGUAAGUAAAAAUAGCGAGAGUCGUUACUUUUGUUGAUUGUGGCAGAAGGACUAUACUACUUAAGUAGUGAAUAAUCCUUUUAUGUUUAUCUGGAGUAAGCACAGUACUAAAUGUGUCUUCCAUGAUAUUUCAAUGUGUGUUUCCAUGAUUGAUUUUUAAAAAACAUGCAGCACAGUUUAACCCAAGAUUAUGGGAUGUACGCACAGUUAGACGUCUCGUCUGCUUACUAGAGAAAACGUUUGUGAUUUUACGGUGAUUUUUACCAAGGAUUUACAGUGUAAACAUCGAAUAUUGAUAGCAUAUAGUGAGGGUUGUUUUUCUAUGUACAAGUCAUAAUGUCUAUGCUCAUGCAGCAACAGUAUACUGAAAGCCACCCCCAAGGACAAGUUGUUGGGAAUCGUAUAUACUAUAACAACAACAGCAACUGUGGCCAGUUCUGCUCGAUUCACUUUGAUAGAAGAAAAGCCUUAUUCAUGAUAGUUGUUGCCUUNUUUCUUUUCGGUAUUGCUGUGGCGAAUUUUGCAGUGGAUCUUGUUAUUUCUGGUGUGGUAUUUCUUGGUUUUAGCAUUAUCAUAUUUUCCUUUGUGGUCUGUACUUAUGUUAGACAACAAAGAGCACAAAAUCCAGGAAUGCAGCCCAAUGUGACAUAUAACCAGGUUCCUGGACAAGCAAUACCAGGACAGAACCAAGGUCCAAUGUAUCCAGCUGUGCAUAUACACCCUCCUCAGCAACAUACAGCCCAGCCAUACCCAACACAGCAACCUUAUGUCCCACCCUACCCUUCACAAAGUUACCCUAGUCAUGUAACUCAAGCACAGCCCCCCACACAGACACCAUCAAUGUCUGCAGUACCAACACAAGGUGCACAAGCUCCUCUACAACCAACGGGAGAGCCUUUGGCCCAGCCUCCACCACCAACAUAUGAAGAAGCUAUGACUUUGACACANAAAUAAUUAUUUUAUCAGCUUUUUUAAUAUUAUUUUUGGUCAAAUGGAUAUUGUUGUCUUAACAACANGACGAACACUUCUUAUUUAUGUGAAGAGCCUUUAAUAGCCCAGCCACCACUNCCAANNUAAGACUUGGNCAACUUUUANCNGCUUCUUGGCCUNGUGGAAANUUUGGUCUGAUUAACGGGCUUUAUAUCCAAGUUGGAUUUUCAAAAUAAUUUAUUUUUAAAAAACAAUAUUACCAUGCUCAGUUAAUCAAGGCUUAAGAAGCCAAUUAAUAGUAUUAAUAGAGUAUUAAUAGACAUUUUAAUNUAAUAGACUUAAAUUAUUAGACUUAACUUCAAGAUGUCUCUAAUGUAUGUACAAGUGUAUCAGUAAAUGACCAUUGUUUUA